CAACAAAUCAGCUCAGUUGGUCAGAGCAUGGUGCUAAUAACGCCAAGGUUAUGGGUUUGAUCCCUCUGUGGG
Lamprotornis superbus is the source of this 72-nucleotide non-coding RNA. The record is from the annotation of a GenBank genome assembly. NCBI's taxonomy places the organism in Eukaryota, Metazoa, Chordata, Aves, Passeriformes, Sturnidae.